UAACGCGUUAAGUACCCCACCUGGGGAGUACGGGCGCAAGGCUAAAACUCAACGUAAUUGACGGGGCCCGCACAAGCGUGGAGCAUGUCGCUCAAUUCGAUGCAACGCGAAGAACCUUAUCCAGGUUUGACAUCUUUUGACUACCAUGGAAACAUGGAUUUCCUGUUAAGGGACAGAGUGACAGGUGCUGCAUGGCUGUCGUCAGCUCGUGUCGUGAGAUGUCGGGUUAAGUCCCGCAACGAGCGCAACCCCUGUUCUUAGUUACCAGCGGGUAAUGCCGGGGACUCUAAGGAGACUGCCUGCGAUGAGCGGGAGGAAGGUGGGGAUGACGUCAAGUCCGCAUGGCCCUUAUGCCCUGGGCUGCACACGUGCUACAAUGGUCGGUACAACGGGCAGCGAAAUCGCGAGAUGGAGCAAAUCCCUAAAAGCCGGCCCCAGUUCGGAUUGGAGUCUGCAACUCGACUCCAUGAAUGCAGGAAUCGCUAGUAAUCGCGGAUCAGAAUGCCGCGGUGAAUACGUUCCCGGGCCUUGUACACACUGCCCGUCAAGCCACGAAAUGCCGGUA
Molecule: ribosomal RNA, 565 nt
Filed under: uncultured bacterium
Lineage: Bacteria
Description: bacterial SSU rRNA
Rfam family: Bacterial small subunit ribosomal RNA
Source: RNAcentral